RNAcentral lists this ribosomal RNA (253 nucleotides) under uncultured bacterium. RNAcentral's name for it is "partial 16S ribosomal RNA". It matches the Rfam family "Bacterial small subunit ribosomal RNA", at positions 524 to 776 of the family's 1533-position model. The record is from RNAcentral.
UACGAAGGGUGCAAACGUUGCUCGGAAUUAUUGGGCGUAAAGCGCACGUAGGCGGCUUUUCAAGUCCCAUGUGAAAGCCCACGGCUUAACCGUGGAAGUGCAUGGGAAACUGGAAAGCUUGAGUACUUAAGAGGAUCGCGGAAUUCCCGGUGUAGAGGUGAAAUUCGUAGAUAUCGGGAGGAACACCAGUGGCGAAGGCGGCUACCUGGACCAGCAUUGACACUCAAGCACGAAAGCGUGGGGAGCAAACAGG